CUUCAGUGGACAGAGAACACACAUGAAACCACUAAAAUAUGUCACAAGUUCAUAUUGAUGUUUCUAAUUCAUAUUGAUUAUGUUGCCUCUAUUUUGCAAUUGGAUGAAGUUAAAGCAAGGGUAUGAAUAACAUAAUAGAUAACACCAUAUUUUUAUAUUGCUAUGUCCCAAGUAUCAGAGUAAAGACUAAUUUUUAAAAAAAGAUCCACAUCUCAAACUUUCAGAACUAUAUGAUGACCAUCCAUGGAAACACUUCCAGGUCUUUCACCAAUAUUUUGUAAUUUUCUACACAAAGGUCUUGAAUAUCUUUCACUGAAAUUUUCCUCCAUAUGCUUUUCAUCAAGAUGAUUUCGAUUUGGAAGAAAGGGAAACAUUUAAUUUGUGGGCUCUCCUUUAAAGAGAAUAGGACAAUAUUCCCAUCCCAGAGAAGCCCCAGCAAGU
This is a non-coding RNA of Odocoileus virginianus texanus, 441 nucleotides long. NCBI's taxonomy places the organism in Eukaryota, Metazoa, Chordata, Mammalia, Artiodactyla, Cervidae. The record is from RefSeq and is a predicted model, not a curated record.